RNAcentral lists this ribosomal RNA (813 nucleotides) under Pseudopestalotiopsis theae. RNAcentral describes it as "partial large subunit ribosomal RNA". It matches the Rfam family "Eukaryotic large subunit ribosomal RNA", at positions 128 to 963 of the family's 3401-position model. The record is from RNAcentral. Lineage: Eukaryota; Fungi; Ascomycota; Sordariomycetes; Amphisphaeriales; Sporocadaceae.
GCCCUUGGGUCCGAAUUGUAAUUUGUAGAGGAUGAUUUUGGUGCGGUAUCUUCCGAGUUCCUUGGAACAGGACGCCUUAGAGGGUGAGAGCCCCGUACGGUUGAAUGCCUAGCCUCUGUAAAUCUCCUUCGACGAGUCGAGUAGUUUGGGAAUGCUGCUCUAAAUGGGAGGUAAAUUUCUUCUAAAGCUAAAUAUUGGCCAGAGACCGAUAGCGCACAAGUAGAGUGAUCGAAAGAUGAAAAGCACUUUGAAAAGAGGGUUAAAUAGCACGUGAAAUUGUUGAAAGGGAAGGAUUUGUGACCAGACUUUUUCUGGGCGGAUCAUCCGGGGUUCUCUCCGGUGCACUUUGCCCAGUAAAGGCCAGCAUCGGUUUUCGGCGGGGGAUAAAAGCAGUAGGAAUGUGGCUCUCUACGGGGAGUGUUAUAGCCUAUUGUAUAAUACCCUGCUGGGGACCGAGGUACGCGCUUCUGCAAGGAUGCUGGCGUAAUGGUUAUCAAUCACCCGUCUUGAAACACGGACCAAGGAGUCGAACAUUUGUGCGAGUGUUUGGGUGUUAAACCCUCACGCGUAAUGAAAGUGAACGGAGGUGAGAGCCCUUACGGGUGCAUCAUCGACCGAUCCUGAAGUUUUCGGAUGGAUUUGAGCAAGAGCAUAACUGUUCGGACCCGAAAGAUGGUGAACUAUGCGUGGAUAGGGUGAAGCCAGAGGAAACUCUGGUGGAGGCUCGCAGCGGUUCUGACGUGCAAAUCGAUCGUCAAAUCUGCGCAUGGGGGCGAAAGACUAAUCGAACCAUCUAGUAGCUGGUUACCGCCG